This is an unclassified non-coding RNA of Vigna unguiculata (cowpea), 1020 nucleotides long. The record is from RefSeq and is a predicted model, not a curated record. Lineage: Eukaryota; Viridiplantae; Streptophyta; Magnoliopsida; Fabales; Fabaceae.
AAAACUUUAUAUUGUUUUUUAAAAAUUAAAAUUUUAUUCUAGAUUUGGCCUUAUAGACUUAAAUACAUUCACGAAGGUGUGUUUUGCACUCUUUCAUCUUCACAAAAGGAAGAGUAUCCAUUGUGCUGUGUUCACAAAUCCAAAGAAGUGAAGUGAAUCGGAGGAUCUUCUUUUGUUGCAUAAGAUGGCUGGACUUUUAGGAUAUAGGAAUCCUAUAGGAACCUUCCACCUCAGGCAAAGAAUUUGGUAGUUGCUGGGGUUUGAAUUUUUCAGGCUCAAUUUCUGGAUUUGGAUUUCACAUUGAACACCUAAGUCCACUCUUCAUGUGUGAUAUAUAUUUUCUUCUUAAUAUCCUGUUCCGUUGAGAAAAUUUAUUAUGUCCUACUAUGUGAAAACAAAUAUAAAUCUACAAUAGGUAUAUGGAGAUUUAGGCUUUAGACUCUAAAACUCGAGCUGCCAGCAGAACAACCAAGGCAAACCAGAUCAGUAAAAGGAGCCCUAAAAGGAACAGAGGUAGAGAGCAAAAUAAAAAGUAGAGAAACAGAGGCUAAGCAUCGCUGACUGCGAGGGCGGCGAGCGCCGGUGACUGCGAGGGCAUUUGUUUUGUGUUAAUUGAAACUAUUACUGUUUUGUGUUAAAAUUUGAUGGAAAAAAAAAAAAAAAAACUUGCAAUGUUUAUUUCAUGUUUUUCAGUUAAAUUUCUUACACUGAUGUCUUUAGGUUACUUAUAGGGCAUUUCAAAAGCUUUCUGAGAAUCUGAUAAAUAUGUCAAAGCAAAACGCUCCAUUCUACAACUAUUUCAAUUGCUUUGCCGUAGUUUGUUUUUGGAAAUACUCACUUUAACUCGUUCUCGAUCAUUGUGUUUUUGGCAUCGUUAGCUUGCUCCGUUCAUCGCUCUGCUUGUUUGUUUGUGGAAAUGUUUACCUCUUGUUUGCUUGCAUUACCCUCAGCAUCACAAUUUAGAAUCUGUGUUUAUAUUGUGCGAAAUUAUAUUGUGCGAAAUUAUGCUAACCCUUUUUC